This 236-nucleotide unclassified non-coding RNA is filed under the name uncultured Helotiales. Its description in RNAcentral is "sequence contains ITS2". The record is from RNAcentral. RNAcentral also lists the same sequence under 1 other name. Lineage: Eukaryota; Fungi; Ascomycota; Leotiomycetes; Helotiales.
AACGCACAUUGCGCCCCUUGGUAUUCCGGGGGGCAUGCCUGUUCGAGCGUCAUUAUAACCCUCAAGCCUAGCUUGGUGUUGGAGCAUGCUAUCUAGCAGCUCUUAAAAUCAGUGGCAGUGCCUUCCGGCUCUAAGCGUAGUAAUUCUUCUCGCUAUGGAAACCGGUUGGUCCGCGCCAGAACCCCCAAUUUUCUAUGGUUGACCUCGGAUCAGGUAGGGAUACCCGCUGAACUUAA